AUUGAACGCUGGCGGCAGGCCUAACACAUGCAAGUCGAACGGUAACAGAAAGCAGCUUGCUGCUUUGCUGACGAGUGGCGGACGGGUGAGUAAUGUCUGGGAAACUGCCUGAUGGAGGGGGAUAACUACUGGAAACGGUAGCUAAUACCGCAUAACGUCGCAAGACCAAAGAGGGGGACCUUCGGGCCUCUUGCCAUCGGAUGUGCCCAGAUGGGAUUAGCUAGUAGGUGGGGUAAAGGCUCACCUAGGCGACGAUCCCUAGCUGGUCUGAGAGGAUGACCAGCCACACUGGAACAGAGACACGGUCCAGACUCCUACGGGAGGCAGCAGUGGGGAAUAUUGCACAAUGGGCGCAAGCCUGAUGCAGCCAUGCCGCGUGUAUGAAGAAGGCCUUCGGGUUGUAAAGUACCUUCAGCGGGGAGGAAGGGAGUAAAGUUAAUACCUUUGCUCAUUGACGUUACCCGCAGAAGAAGCACCGGCUAACUCCGUG
Molecule: ribosomal RNA, 490 nt
Filed under: uncultured bacterium
Lineage: Bacteria
Description: partial 16S ribosomal RNA
Rfam family: Bacterial small subunit ribosomal RNA
Source: RNAcentral